This 7910-nucleotide long non-coding RNA is filed under the name Homo sapiens (human). Its description in RNAcentral is "HSALNT0255005". The record is from RNAcentral. Lineage: Eukaryota; Metazoa; Chordata; Mammalia; Primates; Hominidae.
GAAGAUCUACAAAAGAAGUGAAAAUAGCCUUAGCUGAUGACAUUCCACCAUUGUGAUCUGUUUCUGCCCCACCCUAACUGAUCAAUAUACUUUGUAAUCUCCCCCACCCUUAAGAAGGUUCUUUGUAGGCCGGGCACGGUGGCCCAAGCCUGUAAUCCUAGCUCUUUGGGAGGCCGAGGCGGGCAGAUCACGAGGUCAGAAGAUCAAGACCAUCCUGGCUAACACGGUGAAACCCUGUCUCUACUAAAAAUACAAAAAAAAAUUAGCUGGGCGUAGUGGCGGGCGCCUGUGGUCCCAGCUACUCCGGAGGCUGAGGCAGGAGAAUGGCUUGAACUCGGGAGGCGGAGCUUGCAGUGAGCCGAGAAAGAGCCACUGCACUCCAGCCUGGGCGACAGAGCCAGACUCCGUCUCAAAAAAAAAAAAAAAAAGGUUCUUUGUAAUUCUCCCCACCCUUGAGAAUGUACUUUGUGAGAUCCACCCCUGCCCACAGAACAUUGCUCCUAACUCCACCGCCUAUCCCAAAACCUAUAAGAACCAAUGAUAAUCCCACUACCCUUUGAUGACUCUCUUUUUGGACUCAGCCCGCCUGCACCCAGGUGAAAUAAACAGCCUCGUUGCUCACACAAAGCCUGUUUGGUGGUCUCUUCACACGGACGCAUGAGACAUUUGGUGCCGAAGACCCGGGUCAGCGGGACUCCUUCGGGACAGCAGUCCCCUGUCCUCACCUUCACUCCCUGAAGAGAUCCACCUACAACCUCAGGUCCGCAGACCAACCAGCCCAAGGAACAUCUCACUGAUUUUAAAUUGGGUAAGUGGCCUCUUUUACUCCUUCUCCAACCUCUCUCACUAUCCCUCAACCUCUUUCUCCUUUCAAUCUUGGCACCAUCCUUCAAUCUCUCCCUUCUCUUAAUUUAAAUUCCUUUCAUUUUCUGGUAUAGACAAAGGAGACACAUUUUAUCCGUGGACCCAAAACUCUGGCGCCGGUCACGGACUUGGGAAGGCAGCCUUCCCUUGGUGUUUAAUCAUUGUGGGGACGACUGCCUGAUUAUUCACCCACAUUCCAUUUGUGUCUGAUCUCCGCGGGGACACCUGCCUUGGUCAUUCACCCACAUCCCUUGGUGGCAAGUCAAUUGCAGGGACGCCUGCUUUGGCUGCUCACCUUACCCCUUCUCUCCGUGUCUCUACCCCUUCUCUACUUUCCUGAGGGGCAAGCACCCCCCACCCCGUUUCCAUUUUCCUGGGGGGCAAGCACCUCCCAUCCCUUCUCCACUUUCCUGGGGGAUAAGCAUCCCCCACCCCUUCUCUCCGUGUCUCUACCCUUCUCUUUAAACUUGCCUACUUCACUAUGGGCAACCUUCCACCCUCCAUUCCUCCUUCCUCUCCCUUAGCCUGUGUUCUCAAGAACUUAAAACCUCUUCAACUCUCGCCUGACCUAAAACCUAAAUGUCUUAUUUUCUUCUGCAAUGCCGCUUGACCCCAAUACAAACCAGACAGUGGUUCCAAAUAGCCAAAAAAUGGCACUUUCAAUUUUUCCAUCCUACAAGAUCUAAAUAAUUCUUGUCAUAAAAUGGGCAAAUGGUCUGAGGUGCCUGACGUUCAGGCAUUCUUUUAUACAUCGGUCCCUCCCUAGUCUCUGUUCCCAAUGCAGUUCAUCCCAAAUCUUCCUUCUUUCCCUCCUGCCUGUCCCCUCAGUUCCAACCCCAAGCGUUGCUGAGUCUUGAAUCUUCCUUUUCUACAAACCCAUCUGACUUCUCCCCUCCUUCCCAGGCUGCUCCUCACCAGGCCGAGCUAGGUCCCAAUUCUUCCUCAGCCUCUGCUCCUCCACCCUAUAAUCCUUUUAUUACCUCCCCUCCUCACACCCAGUCCAGCUUACAGUUUCUUUCCGUGACUAGCCCUCCUCCAUCUGCCCAACAGUUUCCUCUUAAAGAGGUGGCUGGAGCUAAAGGCACAGUCAAGGUUAAUGCUCCUUUUUCUUUAUCCGACCUCUCCCAGAUCAGUUAGCGUUUAGGCUCUUUUUCAUCAAAUAUAAAACCCAGCCCAGUUCAUGGCCCAUUUGGCAGCAAUCCUGAGAUGUUUUACAGCCCUAGACCCUGAAAGGUCACAAUGCCGUCUUAUUCUCAAAAUGCAUUUUAUUUUAUUACCCAAUCUGCUCCUGACAUUAAAUAAAGCUCCAAAAAUUAAAUUCCGGCCCUCAUACCCCACAACAGGACUUAAUUAACCUCGCCUUCAAGGUGUACAAUAAUAAGAGUAGAGGCAGCCACGUAGCAAUGUAUUUCUGAGUUGCAAUUCCUUGCCUCCACCGUGAGACAAACCCCAGCCACAUCUCCAGAACACAAGAACUCCAAACGCCUGAACCGCAGCUGCCAGGGGUUCCUCCAGAACCUCCUCCCCCAGGAGCUUGCUACAAGUUUUGGAAAUCUGGCCACCGGGCCAAGGAAUGCCCGCAGCCCGGGAUUCCUCCUAAGCCAUGUCCCAUCUGUGAAGGACCCCCAAUGAAAAUCAGACUGUUCAACUCACCUGGCAGCCACUCUUUUGUUUAGUUUCUCAGUUCAUACAAAACCGCAUCCAGGCCAUCACCAAUAAUUCUAUACGACAAACACUCCUUCUAACAACCCCACAAUAUCACCCCUUACCCCAAAAUCUUCCUUCAGCUUAAUCUCUCCCACUCUAGGUUCCCACACCAACCCCUAAUCCCGCUCGAAGCAGCCCUGAGAAACAUCGCCCAUUAUCUCUCCAUACCACCCCAAAAAAUUGUUGCCACCCCAACACUUUACCACUAUUUCGUUUUAUUUUUCUUAUUAAUAUAAGAAGACAGGAAUGUCAGGCCUCUGAGCCCAAGCUAAGCCAUCAUAUCCCCAGUGACCUGCUCGUAUACAUCUAGAUGGCCUGAAGCAACUGAAGAUCCACAAAAAAAGUGAAAAUAGCCUUAACUGAUGACAUUCCACCAUUGAUUUGUUUCUGCCCUACCCUAACUGAUCAAUGUACUUUGUAAUCUCCCCCCAACCCUUAAGAAGGUUCUCUGUAAUUCUCCCCACCCUUGAGAAUGUACUUUAUGAGAUUCACCCUCUGCCUGCAAAACAUUGCUCCUAACUCCACUGCCUAUCCCAAAACCUAUAAGAACAAUGAUAAUCCCACCACCGUUGCUGACUCCUUUUUCGGACUCAGCCUGCCUGCACCCAGGUGAAAUAAACAGCCUUGUUGCUCACACAAAGCCUGUUUGGUGGUCUCUUCACACAGACAUGUGAGAUCGCGAUGAGGACUGAGAUCCCACCCCAGUUGAACCCAAGAUAUUUUUUCCUAGAAAAAGAUUAAAAAAUGCUACUCUGCUGAGACAUCACAAAGAUCAGGAAGCAAAAAGCAAAAAAAUAGCUGGGCGUGGUGGCUCAUGCCUGUAAUCCCAGUAGUUUCGGAGAGUGAGGUGGGCAGAUCUCUUGAGCCCAGGAAUUCAAGACCUGCCUGAUUGGCCGGGUGCAAUGGCUCAUGGCUGUAAUGCCAGUACUUGCGGAGGCUGAGGUGGGCAGGUCACCUGAGGUCAAGAGUUUGAGACCACCCUUGGCAACAUGGUGAAAUCUUGUCUCUACUAAAAAUAAAAAAUUAGCCAGGUGUGGUGGCAGGCACCUUAAUCCCAGCUACUCAGGAGGCUGAGGCACAAGAAUUGCUUGAACGAGGGAGGCAGAGGUUGCAAUAAGCCGAGAUCAUGCCACUGUACCCCAGCCUGGGCGACACAGCAAGACUCUGUCUCAAAAAAAAAAAAAAAAAAAAAAAAAAAAGUCCUGCCUGAGCAACAUAGUGAGACCCCAUCUCUACAAAAGAAAAAAAAAUUAAAAAGUAUCCAGGUGAGGUGGCACACACCUGUAGUCCCAGCUACUCCAGAGCCUGAGGCAGGAGGGUCACUCGAGCCCAGGAGUCUGAGGCUGCAGUGAGCCAUGAUUGCAUCACUGCACUCCAGCCUGGGCAACAGACCAAGAUUCUGUCUCAAAGAAAAAGAAAAAAAAAAUGCAUCUUAAGUCCACCCCAGGCAGGGCAGGGCCAGAGAGAAUCCAAGGCCAGAAAAGAUGAGUGGGGGGAGGCUGUUGAUGGGGUUGGGGUGCAGAGGGGACUCCACUCCAGAGCUCUGCCAGAGAGAGAGACAAACGUCACUCUUUCCUUCCGGUUUGGCAAAUCACCCAGAACCUUCCAUGUCCUCCCCAACGGUGGUGCAUGCCACACCCAGAAAGACCCCUGCCUGUGACUAGGGGGUGCUGGCCACAUUCCAGGUCAUGGACAGUUUGGUGACUCUCCACCGGGAUUUUGUGCCAGCCCAGCCACAUCAUGAAUCAGGGCCCAUAGGAUGGGGGCCGAGGGGAGGAGGGACGGAGCCAGGAAGCCUUUCCUGGGAGGUCUCCCAGGCAUUCUGGGUGGGGGGAAAAGGUAGAAUGGGAUAACUUACCUGGAGAGGCAGCGAGCAGUGGAUGAGGACAGCUCACCAGGAGGCCAUGGCAGGUUUCCUGGGGCGGGGAGGAAGUGGGAACAGAGAAGAGGAGGAACAAGUACGUGUACAUUGCAGCACACACCUGUCACCAGGUGACCUAGGGUGUUCUCCCCUGCAGCAGGGAUAUUGUCUGGAAGCCAGUUUCCGGGGUGUCCUAAUCUCGCCUGUGAGACCGGAUAAGGGUGCAGGAACUUGGAGGCCCGGGACGUGACCCGGGCUCCAUCUGUAGCCUGAAGGCUGCCUGGCUUUGGGUGCACAGCUGGUCCAUCCAUAAAGUGAAAACGCUGGUCUAAAGCUUUGAUUCUCAAAGUGGGUCCCACGGGGGCCCCAUGGGUUUCUCGGGAGAUGGUAAAGGGAGAGAAGUGAGCAGAAUUUUAACCAUCCCACCCAUUCAGUCAGUCAAUCAACAAACAUUGCUUAUGCACCUAUUGCAUACCAGACCCAGGGAGAGUGCAGGGAGCAAGUGGGUGAAUCAGACAAUACAUGACUUUUGUAAGGGAACAAUUCUUCAGGCCUCUGAGCCCAAGCUAAGCCACCAUCUCCCCUGUGACCUGCACGUGUACAUCCAGAUGGCCUGAAGCAACUGAAGAUCCAGAAAAAAAGUGAAAAUAGCCAGUUCCUGCCUUAACUGAUGACAUUCCACCAUUGCGAUUUGUUCCUGCCUCACCCUAACUGAUCAAUUGACUUUGUGACAAUACACCACCCCCUUGCAAUAAUGUACUUUGUGAUAUUCCCCCGCCCUUGUGAACAUACUUUGUACAAUAUACCCUCGUCACCCUUGAGAAGGUGCUUUGUAAUAUCCUCCUCCCUGCCCUUAAGAAGGCACUUUGUAAUAUUCUCCCCCUCCAGCCCUUAAGAAGAUACUUUGUAAUAUUCUCCUCACCCUUGAGAAUGUACUUUGUAAGAUCUACCACCUGCCCGCAAAAAAUUGCUCCUAACUCCACUGCCUAUCCCAAACCUAUAAGAACUAAUGAUAAUCCCACCACCCUUUGCUAACUCUCUUUUCGGACUCAGCCCGCCUGCACCCAGGUGAUUAAAAAGCUUUAUUGCUCACACGAAGCCUGUUUGGUAGACUCUCUUCACACGGGCGAGUGUGACAUUUGGUGCCGAAGACCCAGGACAGGAGGACUCCUUUGGGAGACCGGUCUCCUGUCCUCGCCCUCACUCCGUGAGGAGAUCCACCUGCAACCUCAGGUCCUCAGACCAACCAGCCGAAGGAACAUCUCACCAAUUUCAAAUGGGCUUAGCGGCUGAAGACUGAUGCUGCCUGGUCGCCUCGGAAGCCCCCUGGACCAUCAUGGACGCCGAGCUUCGGGUAACUCUCACAGUGGAGGCCUGUUUGGUGACUUUCUUCGCACCGACGUGCGUGACACAAUGUUUGCAGAAUAUGAAGGUGGCUGUCACGUGGUCUGGGCUUCCUGGAGGUUUGAGCUGGGAGCUGAAGCCCCGUAGGAGUUCUGUAAGUCAAAAGGGAAGAGAAGAGCAUUCCACGUAGAGAAAAGAAUCUGUGCUCCAGGCGCGGUGGCUCACGAUUGUAAUCUCAGCACUUGGUGUCAGGCCUCUGAGCCCAGGCUAAGCCAUUGUAUAUCCCCCGUGACCUGCAUGUAUACAUCCAGAUGGCCUGAAGCAGCUGAAGAACCACAAGAGAAGUGAAAAUAGCCAGUUCCUGCCUUAACUGAUGUCAUUCCACCAUUGUGAUUUGUUCCUGUCCCACCUUUACUGAUCAAUUAACUUUGUGACAUUUCUUCUCCUGGACAAUGAGUCUCAUGAUCUCCCUACCCAGCACCUUGUGACCCCUGCCCCUGCCCGCAAGAGAUAACCAUCUUUAACUGUAACUUUCCACUACCUACCUAAAUCCUGUAAAAACUGACCCACCCCCUAUCUCCCUUUGCUGACUCCUUUUUCGGACUCAGCCCGCCUGCACCCAGGUGAUUAAAAAGCUUUAUUGUUCACAUGAAGCCUGUUUGGUGGUCUCUUCACACAGACACGCAUGACAUUUUGGGAGGCUGAGGCGGGUGGAUCACCUGUAGUCAGGAGUUUGAGACCAGCCUGGCCAACAUGGUGAAACCCUGUCUCUACUAAAAAUACAAAAAUUAGCCGGGCGCAGUGGUGGGCACCUGUAAUCCCAGCUACUCAGUAGGCUGAGGCAAGAGAAUCGCUUGAAUCCAGGAGGAGGAGAUUGCAGUGAGCCGAGAUCAUGCCACUGCCAUCCAGCCUGGGUGACAGAGACGCUGUCUCAAAAAAAAAGAAUCUGUGCAAAGCAGAGGUCCAGGCGCAUUAGAGGAGCUGAAGGAAACUCUAGGCUGGGUCUUCACAAGCGGAAGAUGAGACAGUGCUGCUUCUGGGGCUGAGCCACAUCCAGCCAUGGUCAAUGGUGGCAUGUUUAGCACCAGGGUGAUAGGAAGCCGUGCAAAGCUUCAAGCAGUGGGGUUGCUUUUUUUUUUUUUUUUUGACACAGAAUCUCACUCUGUCGCCCAGGCUGGAACUGCAAUGGCAUGACCAUGACUCGCUGCAGCCUCCACCUCCCAGGCUCAAGCGAUCCUCCUGCCUCAGGCUCCCGAGUAGCUAGGGCUACAGCCAUGUGCCACUAUGCCUGGCUAAUAUGGUUUAUUUUUUGUAGAGACGAGGUCUCGCUAUGUUGCCCAGGCUGGUUUCAAACUCCUGAGCUCAAGCAAUCUGCCCGCCUCAGCCUCCCAAAGCACUGGGAUUACAGGCGUGAGCCACUGCGCUCGGCCAUUUUUCUUUUCUUUUUUUUUUUUUUUUGAGACAAGGUCUCACUCUCAUCCAGGCUACAGUUCAGUGUGGCGAUCAUAGCUCACUGCAGCCUCUAACUCCUGGGCUCAAAUGAUCCUCCUGCCUUAGCCUCCCUGGUUGCUAGCAGUACAGGCGUGCACCACCACGUUAAUUUUUAAUUUUUUUUUUUUGAGAUGGAGUCUUGCUCUGUCUUCCAGGCUAGAGUACAGUGGUGCAAUAUUGGCUCCUCCGCCUCCUGGGUUCAAGCGAUUCUCCUGCCUCAGCCUCUUGAGUAGCUGGGACUACAGGCACAUGCAACCACGCCUGGCUAAUUUUUGUAUUUUUAGUAGAGAUGGGGUUUCACCAUGUUGGCCAGGCUGGUCUUGAACUCCUGGCUUCAAGUGAUCCUCCCACCUCAAUCUCCCAAAUCCCUGGGAUUACAAGCGUGAGCCACCGCACCCAGCCAGGUUACCAUAUUAAUAUGUGGUUUGAGAUGCUUUAUCAGGACAUGCUGGGCACAGGCCAUCGGGACAGAGCAGAGGAGAGCGGGGAGGAAGAGGAGGCUGUUUUCAGGUGUCCUGGCAAGCGGUGAGGGUCCUCUGCCCCAGAGCGGUGGCCUCACCAAGGCCCUCUGUGUGCCUCAAAAGCACUCCUUUGGCCGGGCACGGUGGCUCACGCCUGUAAUCCCAGCACUUUGAGAGGCCGA